Molecule: ribosomal RNA, 460 nt
Filed under: uncultured bacterium
Lineage: Bacteria
Description: partial 16S ribosomal RNA
Rfam family: Bacterial small subunit ribosomal RNA
Source: RNAcentral
CCUACGGGUGGCAGCAGUGAGGAAUAUUGGUCAAUGGCCGGAAGGCUGAACCAGCCAAGCCGCGUGAAGGACGAAGGUGCCAAGCAUUGUAAACUUCUUUUGUCAAGGGACAAAAUCAGGCUCGAGAGCCUGACCGCGUGUACUUUAAGAAAAAGCAUCGGCUAACUCCGUGCCAGCAGCCGCGGUAAUACGUAGGGGGCGAGCGUUAUCCGGAUUUACUGGGUGUAAAGGGAGCGUAGACGGCGGCGCAAGUCUGAAGUGAAAGCCCGUGGCUCAACUGCGGAACCGCUUUGGAAACUGCGAGGCUGGAGUGCUGGAGAGGUAAGCGGAAUUCCUGGUGUAGCGGUGAAAUGCGUAGAUAUCAGGAGGAACACCGGUGGCGAAGGCGGCUUACUGGACAGUGACUGACGUUGAGGCUCGAAAGCGUGGGGAGCGAACAGGAUUAGAUACCCGAGUAGUC